UACGUAGGUGGCAAGCGUUGUCCGGCUUUACUGGGCGUAAAGAGCGCGCAGGCGGUCGUUCAAGUCGCGUGUGAAAGCCCCCGGCUCAACUGGGGAGGGUCACGCGAUACUGAUCGACUCGAAGGCAGGAGAGGGUAGUGGAAUUCCCGGUGUAGUGGUGAAAUGCGUAGAUAUCGGGAGGAACACCAGUGGCGAAGGCGACUACCUGGCCUGUUCUUGACGCUGAGGCGCGAAAGCUAGGGGAGCAAACGGG
Molecule: ribosomal RNA, 253 nt
Filed under: uncultured bacterium
Lineage: Bacteria
Description: partial 16S ribosomal RNA
Rfam family: Bacterial small subunit ribosomal RNA
Source: RNAcentral